CCUACGGGAGGCAGCAGUGGGAAUAUUGCACAAUGGGCGCAAGCCUGAUGCAGCCAUGCCGCGUGUAUGAAGAAGGCCUUCGGGUUGUAAAGUACUUUCAGCGGGGAGGAAGGUGUUGUGGUUAGUAACCACAGCAAUUGACGUUACCCGCAGAAGAAGAACCGGCUGACUCCGUGCCAGCAGCCGCGGUAAUACGGAGGGUGCAAGCGUUAAUCGGAAUUACUGGGCGUAAAGCGCACGCAGGCGGUCUGUCAAGUCGGAUGUGAAAUCCCCGGGCUCAACCUGGGAACUGCAUUCGAAACUGGCAGGCUAGAGUCUUGUAGAGGGGGGUAGAAUUCCAGGUGUAGCGGUGAAAUGCGUAGAGAUCUGGAGGAAUACCGGUGGCGAAGGCGGCCCCCUGGACAAAGACUGACGCUCAGGUGCGAAAGCGUGGGGAGCAAACAGGAUUAGAUACCCCCGUAGUC
Molecule: ribosomal RNA, 464 nt
Filed under: uncultured bacterium
Lineage: Bacteria
Description: bacterial SSU rRNA
Rfam family: Bacterial small subunit ribosomal RNA
Source: RNAcentral